GAAUUGGAAGCUUUUACAGCAUUGGUCUUGUAAAUCAAAGAUAGAAAUUUAUUCCCGAUUCU
RNAcentral lists this transfer RNA (62 nucleotides) under Placobdella parasitica. RNAcentral describes it as "transfer RNA Threonine". The record is from RNAcentral. Lineage: Eukaryota; Metazoa; Annelida; Clitellata; Rhynchobdellida; Glossiphoniidae.